This is a non-coding RNA of Poecilia reticulata (guppy), 1227 nucleotides long. The record is from RefSeq and is a predicted model, not a curated record. Lineage: Eukaryota; Metazoa; Chordata; Actinopteri; Cyprinodontiformes; Poeciliidae.
AAAUCACACACACACACACACACACACACACACACCAAGAGUUAUUAUACCUGCUUUAGGAAUAUCGAUGUUUACAGAGUGGGAUGGAAAACGAGUUGAGAUCUAGAGCGGAUCUACUCAGUUCAGCAAAAUGUUUUUACAGGUUCAAUUCGUUCAUUAAACAAUUCUAUGAAACGGACCUAUUCCUACAGGUCCGUUUCAUAGCAAAAAAAUGUAUUUCAGGGCGGCGGUGGCACAGGGGUAAUCGACAGUCAUCAAGGGUUCGAGUCCUGGCCUGUUGACUUUUGCCGCAUAUCUUCACUGUAGCCCCUGGUUAUAAACCAUGCUCUUAAGGCCCUUUAAUAUUUACAAAAUAUUUACAAGGUUGGUUGUAUGUACAUAGAAAACAUAAGUGAGAAACUUGUAUUAUUGUUUUUGUACAUUUUUGACCCGGUUACUGUUGUGAGUAGCGUGAGAAAAAUGAGAAAAACAGAAAGUCGAAGCUUUUCUGGACGGGACUUAUGUUCUUACAUAAAUGUAUUCUUGUUUGAUCAAUUAUCUCAUUAGUUUUAAAGACUGUAUUGAAUUUUCUAUCUAUGAAGUAGUUUGGGCUAACGAGGGACAAGUAAACUCAACAGAAGGAGAGAGAAAAAAGAACAGAACAAGGAGAUGAUGGGAAGGAGAAGAGAGAAGAACGCGGGAAACGACRAGGAGGAAGCGAAUGGAGACCACCGCUAAUGCGAGCAGAGGUUGAAGUGGGAGCAAAACUUGGACUGUUUUAUGCGCGUUCUGCACAACUAAACUUGCACCCGGUGGGUAGGAAACAUGCAGAAGUGUUUUGUAGUGAAGAACUGCGGAGGUGAACUGCGGCUGAUCCGAGGUGGCUAGAGGAACGUGUCGACAUGGCGAUGCUGGCUUUAGCAUGAUGGAGGAGGAGUCCUGCAGCUCGUGUGGCGGAGUUCUAACAUAAAUUGGACCUUGACGGAGAGGACGUCGGCUGAGCGAGCAGGUCUGAGUCAGUUUUGUUGCCUAAACGAGGAGAAGAGGAUUGUUGUAGCGACGUCGCACCCGAGCUUCAUCAGGCCUGUAACGAAAACUUGAACCGGUACCGGACAGUGUGAGAGUGUGAGAGUGUGGGCCCAUGUGUGAUGUUGUGUUCAAAACUGUAAAUUCCGGUAAAUGUAUGGAGUUCUGUUAAUGACUAAAGUUGCAUUCCGGUUAUAUUGAAACAACAGUUCAAAGGAAGGG